RNAcentral lists this long non-coding RNA (930 nucleotides) under Mus caroli (Ryukyu mouse). Its description in RNAcentral is "predicted gene 12916 (MGP_CAROLIEiJ_G0005912.1)". The record is from RNAcentral. Lineage: Eukaryota; Metazoa; Chordata; Mammalia; Rodentia; Muridae.
GUGUGCACUGUGGCCGUGCCUGAUGUGCUGAGGGACUUAUUUGGCUUGGGGAAGGGCCAGGCCUCUCUGCCCAUAGCAUUGAGGACAGAGGCACAGGUCUCUGUCACUGGGCUGACAGCUUCCAUUCUUCCAAAUCCCCUCUUCUGAGCUAGUCUGCCAUGGACCAAGUGAGCAUGUGUGUGUUUUUAUGCUUUGUACUUCUGUCUCCAUCCAUCUACAAUCCUAGCACUGAAACCACACUCCUCUGAGCCACUGUGUGCACCGGCGAGGCCUUCUCAUGGAUGGUCGCAGUCAUUCUCAUUUCUACGCAUGCUUCCUCCAGGCCAGGCUCACAGGUGGGCCUGCCGGGUGAUUCUGGAUCCUGUGAAGUUGACAGCUUACAUUAACCAUCACAAGUAGCAUGCAAAAUCUGAUUUCUUAAUGGAAGAUACAGCACAAGAUCUGGGAGAAAUUUCAAUGUUGUGUAAAAGGAGCACCUAGAAGAAUGAAGUCCUAUGAGGAGAAUUCUUUGUGAGAAAACCUGAGACUUGUGACCUCGGUUUCUUCGAAACAUGGACUUAUUCUUGGAUGGUUUCGUGCUCCUCCCAGGUGUAGUGGAUAGGGGUGGGCGGACUUCAGAUUACUCACUAGUGCUUGCAGUUGUUGUUAAGUGUUUAGACAGUCCUUUCUAGUCCUCUGGAGAAAACCAGGGUUUUUACCAGGUGGGGCUUGUUCUUGUGAUUUUAUACAGCACGAAACUCAUGAGAACUUAAUUCAUGUGAUUUUUCUUAACCCUCAGAGUGUAAAUUGUCCGAAGCCCUGAAUAGAAAUGAUCAUUGCACGAGACUGUAGCCUCCUUGUUUAUCGGCUCCAUUCUCCCACAUGUGAAGGUUAUCACGAUAAUCACGUCCACUCGGGCACCGAAAGACGAGUAUUACAUGCCUUCUGUCC